UACGUAGGGUGCGAGCGUUAAUCGGAAUUACUGGGCGUAAAGCGUGCGCAGGCGGUUUUGUAAGCCAGAUGUGAAAUCCCCGGGCUUAACCUGGGAAUGGCAUUUGGGACUGCAAGGCUUGAGUGCGGCAGAGGAGACUGGAAUUCCUGGUGUAGCAGUGAAAUGCGUAGAUAUCAGGAGGAACACCGAUGGCGAAGGCAGCUCGCUGGGACGGUACUGACGCUGAGGCGCGAAAGCGUGGGGAGCAAACAGG
RNAcentral lists this ribosomal RNA (253 nucleotides) under uncultured bacterium. Its description in RNAcentral is "partial 16S ribosomal RNA". It matches the Rfam family "Bacterial small subunit ribosomal RNA", at positions 524 to 776 of the family's 1533-position model. The record is from RNAcentral.